This 468-nucleotide ribosomal RNA is filed under the name uncultured bacterium. Its description in RNAcentral is "partial 16S ribosomal RNA". It matches the Rfam family "Bacterial small subunit ribosomal RNA", at positions 28 to 507 of the family's 1533-position model. The record is from RNAcentral.
GACGAACGCUGGCGGCGUGCUUAACACAUGCAAGUCGAACGGAAAGGCCCUGCUUUUGUGGGGUUCUCGAGUGGCGAACGGGUGAGUAACACGUGAGUAACCUGCCCUUGACUUUGGGAUAACUUCAGGAAACUGGGGCUAAUACCGGAUAGGAUCUCCUGCUGCAUGGGGGGGGUUGGAAAGUUUCGGCGGUUGGGGAUGGACUCGCGGCUUAUCAGCUUGUUGGUGGGGUAGUGGCUUACCAAGGCUUUGACGGGUAGCCGGCCUGAGAGGGUGACCGGCCACAUUGGGACUGAGAUACGGCCCAGACUCCUACGGGAGGCAGCAGUGGGGAAUAUUGCACAAUGGGCGGAAGCCUGAUGCAGCAACGCCGCGUGCGGGAUGACGGCCUUCGGGUUGUAAACCGCUUUCGCCUGUGACGAAGCGUGAGUGACGGUAAUGGGUAAAGAAGCACCGGCUAACUACGUG